Bubalus bubalis (water buffalo) is the source of this 6340-nucleotide long non-coding RNA. RefSeq lists it as uncharacterized. NCBI's taxonomy places the organism in Eukaryota, Metazoa, Chordata, Mammalia, Artiodactyla, Bovidae. The transcript has 2 exons. The record is from RefSeq and is a predicted model, not a curated record.
CAUUUCCUCCUCCAGGGGAUCUUCCCAACCCAGGGAUAGAACCUGCAUCUCUCAUGUCUGUCUCCUGCUUGGCAGGUGGAUUCUUUAUCACUAGCGCCACCUGGGAAGCCUGUAAUUAUUAGGGAUCAACACCUAUGAAAUGAGAGGAAGGAUUGGGCAGAGGGAGAAGUUAAAACGCUAAUACAUCAAAUAUCUGGGUGCAGGCUUCACUGGGAAGAGAGUGUUCUCCAACCAGGCAUCUCUCUGCAGCUAAGGUGGACCUGGAACGAGCUGACAGCUAGGAGUUGCCUACUGACUGCACUCUGCAGCUGAGUGGCCAGAACUUCUUGCAGGGGGGAGUGGCAGGGAGGUGAGCAGUCUUUGAUGUCCAUCUUCGUUUCUGUUACAUAUGCAGAGUAUUCAGUACUUAUAUCAGUUUCUUAGUAAAUACCCUUGAUUGUAAUUUGCUGAUUACUACGCACCUUCUCCCUAGGAUGGUAGGCUAAGCUCAGGAGCUCGCCUCUGUUGGGCUCAUCCUUUCCAUCACCCAACAUGUAGUGGGCAUGCAAUAAAGAGUCAUAAAACCGGUGUUUGUCUUCAAGUUCAAUGUCUAGAGUUAUUUCUACUGCUGUAGUCAUCACUAUAAUCUGAAGACCAGAACACUGAUAAUUCCUGAGUCCCUCUUGGAGGCUUGCCACUGCGCCAGCUUUACACCUGCAAAGUGGUUUGCUCUUGACAACCAUUUUGCAAAAUAAAAGCCAUUGCUCCCCCUUCACAGUCUAAGAACUGCUGCUCAGAGAAGUUGAGCAGCCCUGUGACUCCAGAGCUUAGAGUUUUCCCCUGCACUGAGUCAGCAUUGCUGGUGAGGCUGGGCUUCCAGGCACCUGAUGGGAGCACCUCUGGGUUGGGUCUUGUGUCUUCUCUGGCAUUCAUAUUGAUAUUCGAGCCCAGAGGACAUAGGCCGCUGUAGCUGCUAUACUUUCCAGUUGCUGUCUUCCUAAGGUAAGAUGAACACCUUCCUGUAACCAGAAGCUCUGUUGAUACAGCAAGCAUCUUGGGAUUGCAAGUCUUCCUGGGCUUUACUCUGUCUGUUCCAACUCUGAGAGCAUAUCCCAGAUGUUGACUGUGUGCUGUAUUCAGAUGCCUGCCAGGCUUUCACUGAAGACCAUGAACAUUUCCCCAGGGGUGCCAUUUCUUCCCCCCAUCCAGGAAUUGUCUUGAGUGAGGGGCAUGGGAAGCCCACUCAUCCACUUAUUCUGCAUGAGAGUCCUGGCUGGCAUCUGUUAGGACCAGCCCAGGAGGCUCUUGGUGCCCUGAUACAGGCAGAGCCCUGACCAUCCCCCAUGGGGCUUGUGGCCCAUGUUGAAGUGGAUUCUCACCUGACCUAAGCCCUCUCUCUGGCUUCGGGAUAUAGCAGUGCUGAAGAUAAUCAGCCUGGAAAGAUUAGAAAAACCUAGAAUUGGUUGAGAAGAGCCUAGGAAGAAGACAAUUUGGUUUCUAAUCUUGAGGCAAGGGGUGAACAUAGAUGGCUGGAAGGCUGGGUGGUAGAAAUGGCAGCAAAGGAGGAAACCAGGCAGGAAGCAACCUCAGAGCCUGUGCCAGAAGAGCCCAGAAGCAGAGGUCUAGGCUGUAGGGGGCAGGGUGGGAACAAAGUGUGUGCAGAUGAAAAAGCACUCUGAGUUUAGGAUCUGGGGUCAGUACAGCAUGGUGGCUGAAAACACGGUUUCUAAGGUUGGAGAGUUUGGAUCUGAAUCCACUCACCACCAGCCAUGUGACCUUGAGCAAGUUACUUAACUACCCUCCCUCUUAGUCCUCUUCUAGGAAUAGGAAUAGGAAUAAUUACAGCCAUUAUCACAUUGGGUUGCUGAGAGGAUUAAAUGGGUCCUAUGUCAUCUGCCUGCCAAGGAUGUGUUUCCUCUCUCUUUUUUCUUUUGAAUGAACUUUGGAUUUUACAACAGUUUUAGGCUCUCAGAGUUUGUAAAGAGAGUGCAGGGUGUUCUCAAUUUCCCUAUGAGCAUAGUACAUGAACUGUGAUGCAUUUGUUACAAUGAAUGAACCAAAACUGGUACAUUGUCAUCAGGUCAAGCCCAUACAUUCAUUCAGACAUCCUUGAAUGACUUCCAGACUUAUAUUUAGCCAUGGUCUCUCCUUUGUUGUUGUUAGUCAUUACAUUGUGUCUGACUCUUUUGCAACCCCAUGGCUUUAGACCACCAGGCUGUUCUGUCCAUGGGAUUUCCCAGGCAAGAAUACCUGAGUGGUUUGCCAUUUCCUGCUCCAGGGGAUCUUCCCGACUCAGGAAUUGAACCCACAUCUCCUGCGUUGGCAGGUAGACUCUUUACCACAGAGCCACCCAGGAAGCCCUCACCUCUCCUUUGGCUCCUCGUAACAUGACAGUUUUAGAUGACCUUGAGGGUUUUGAUGCAUACUGGUCAGGCGUUAAAUACAACGUCCCUCAGUUGGGAUUUGUCUUUUCUUUUUUCCUCAUGCUUUGGCUGGGGUUAUGUGUUUUGGGGAGGAAGGCUCAUAGAUAUUUAUUUUGUACUUUGGGUUAUAACCCACUACUCCUUUAUUUUGUUGCUCUAAUUCUUCCAACCUUUUCGAACAAGAGCUUCUUCAGUUGGCUCCGGGGACAGGGAUUUUCAGUUGAAUUCAACUUUGUCAACUCAGUGAUGUAAUUGGAUUUGACCCAACAGGAACUGGGGUCCUGAGUGGGAGUUUCCUGUGCUGUUGCUUUGUAAUUAAAUUCUUCCAGUUCCCAGAGUGGUCAGGCCGGGUCCAGGCAGGUUUUCCUAACCUCUGAGAUGGAAAUUCUUGGAGUGGAAUGAAGUUUGUAAACUUUAUUUCCUUAUUUGUCUCCCUGUUCUCACUGUAAAUUCAGUUUGAACAACUGAGAAAUAUCUUCCCUAGGACAGAUUAAUGAAGAAAUAGAGUUUAAGGUACUGUUAUUUCCUCAGCCCCUCAAUGCUGGCAUUCCUCACUGUCUGUUCCUUCUCACUAAGCACUAGACAGGCUUAUUUCCCAAGUAAGUUUUACAUCCAUGGGGCUGAUGAAACCAUAAUUCAACAAAUGCAUAACUCCUGGUUUGAGCACUUAUAAUUCUUUAAUUAGUUGCUUGCCGAUUGCUCUAAUCUCAGGACACAGCGAAAUCCUAGAACACAGAGAGUAUAUUUUAUAUAUAUUUGUGAAUCCGUUGCUUGGCACAGUAAGAUAUUAGAGGCUUAAAAAUGUUGAUUAAAUAACUCAGGACUGGAAAAGUAAUUAGCUUACCUAACUUGAUGAACUUGUUAAUACAAUUAUUAUUUAAAGUAAUUCAGAUUGUGCCCAUCUCUCCUUAUUGUGGUUGCUUUCUUAUCAGCCUCUUAAGCAGUUUUGGAAAAAAGCACUGAUUUUAGCUCUUGUUUUCCUUAGCUGACCUUUCCCACUGCAUUUGUCAGGCAUUUUGCCUCUUGGCUUUUACUUAUCACAGAACAUAACCUGUUCACUGACCUGAACUUUGUCCAUUUUUUCAGAUUUCUGUACCGUUUCUUGUUAUGUCAACUCUGUUUUUCUUUAGGUAACUAUCUUUUGACAGUUUAUUUUUUCUGUUCACUGAUUUUAUUUUUCCUUCUUCUGCAAGUGUGAGUCUCAGUUUCCUUUAUGAUUUUAACAUCAAGGAGUUUGAUGAAUAUAUUGGUUCUGUUUAUUGCUGGAUGCCAUUGUAAAGAAUGGACCCAAAUAUGAAUGAAGCAAGGUUGGCAAUGAAGGGCUGAGAAGCAGAGGAAGAGAUUCAUGCUUGCUGGUGAACUGACUGCUAUGCCUUCGGGAACUGAACACGUAGUGGGCUCAGGGUUUGCUCUGCAAGCCAGGACCCCCGUCCACUUUCCUAUGGUGAUAGCGGCUCCUACUUGGGAGUGACCUUGGGGAUAAAUGCCUGUCCGUGUUGUGUUGGCCUGACAAUAUAUUAGCCUUUGGAGGUUAAACUUCUUUCUUCCUUUCACAGUUUGCUUUUACCUGUUAACCUCAGGUGCUUUUUUUUUUUUUUUUCUUUUUCAUUCCAUGGCUUUUUUUUUUUUGUCCUGUGACCGAAUCAAUGCUGUUGUGAAAAGGUCAGCAGCUUCUGAAACACCUUUGGUUCAUAACAGAAUGUAAGGCCCAUUUUGAAAUUCCUCCCCACCCCUCCUUUUUCCUCUCCCACCAAGAAUCGAUCCCAGAGCCCCAUCUGUGCUUUUCCUCUAAAUGGUUCUUCUUUACAGGUGUUAACAUUGCAUUUAUGUAAAACAUAACAUAACCCUCUUUUAAGCAGGGGCAUCCUGUUAGGAACACAGUAUGUUCAUUCCCAGAAACCUCCUGGUAACUCUCUUUGUGCUGUUGCUGUUUCUGGGACACUCUUUUGCUGUAUAAAUGGUCUUUCAGCCUGGUUUGUGUGAAUCAGAUGUAUAGACUUUUUAAAUCUGAACUCCGAACCUCAGGACCUAUAGCGUUUGCCCUUGGUGCUUCCCGUCUUGGGAGAGAGAAACUGUGUCCUGCCGACUUGUCGGUGGAAAGAGGCCCUUCCAUGGUGGUGCUUCCAUUGGCAUUGCUGGCCACUAACUCAUGGAUGCCAGAUAAUAUGUCAUUAACUAACCUUUCCAUUUCCAUUGUGUGUUUGGACAGGCAGUGCUCUUCAGGUCAAGGUGAGUAUAAUUACAUGCCUUCUUUUUUAAUGACAAAUCAGUUUUGGUUGAAUUCACCCCCUUUCUCUCUUCCAGUAGCUAAGAAUAAGCCAAUUACCUAGAGGAGCCUUGAGAUAGAUCAGAUAAACACAUUGCUUACUUUUUCCUAGGCUGUGGAUGCAUUUGGUUGGGUGGUCUUUGUAAGCACAAAUCAAUCACACUUUGAAUAUCCAGGAAGUCUCUAAACCCCUGCGGCAGGCACAUAGGUGUGCCAGGACUCCGUUCCACCAUCUCUGUAGUUUUGUUUCUCCAUUCUUAACCACAGACACUCUUUUUUUUUCUAGCCAUAGUGAAGGAAUCACAGUCCCUGUAACAAACCACGUCCUUUACUUCUUGGUGCCACUGUACACAAUGCUCUCACCUUGACUUACCUUUGUCUACUGUAGCUUCCCACUCAUGCCCCAUCAUUGCUAAACCUUCAGUGACCCCCUCCCCCAGCUGUAGAACUGACCGUCCCUAACUUCACGCUCCACUUGUAUUUGGUCCACUGCUGUACCCACUGUGACACUUGACGAUUUUUGGUCAGUGUGUCUGUCUGGACCCCAGUGCUGUCCAAUAGAACUUUCUGCACUGAAGGAAGCAUGUUUAAUAUGGGGGUCAGCAGCCAUGUGUGGCUAGUGAACACUUGAAACGUGGCUAGUGCGGGUGAGCACUGAAACUUUAUGUUGUUGGUUGUUGCUACCAUAUUGGACAGUGCAGGUCUAGACCAGUGGCUUUCAAAUGUUCGUGUGUAUCAGAAUCACAUGGAGGGCAUAUUCAAACACAGAUACCUAGGGCCACCCCCAGAGUUUCUGAGUCAGUGGGCUUGUGUGGGGCCUGAGAAUUUACAUUUCUAACAAGCCCUCAGAUGAUGCUGUUAUUUCUGAUUGUGGAUUCAUAGCUUGGUUUAAUGGCCUAGACCAGUGUUGGCAGAUUACAGCCUCCAAGCAAGAUUUAACCAGCUACCUGUCUUUGAAAGUGUUUUACGGGAAAUAGCCUGUCCAUCCAUUUACACUGUCUAUGGAGGCUUUCACACUGCAAUGACAGAGCCAAGUAAUUGCAGCAGUAGAUCAUACAUGUAAAGCCAAAAAUACUCACUGUCUGACCCUUUACAGAAAGUGUGCUGAGUGCUGGUCUCUGUGAAGGACACUUUGUUGUCUUUGUAGCUUUGGACCUUGCAACAGUGGGUGGGGGUGCUGAGUAGCCAUGGAAUGAAUGAAUGAAUGAAGCAUUAUAGAGGAUUCCAGUUGAGUAUAAAUAUUAGCCUUAUUUACUGUGAUAGAUUGUUGUAGGAUUUUCACAAGUUUUGAAACAAUCUAUUUGAGUCAUUUUGACUUGAGCCUUGGAGGCAUUUAAAAUUCAUGUCCCUUAGCAAUUUGAUCAAGGUGAAAGCUCUGAGUAAAGGACUGUGAAAUGGAAAAGCCACAUUAAUCUGAACAGUAGGAAUAUUGGCUGUUGAAUUUAUUAUUAGUAGUUGUAGUAAUAUUUUACAGAAAUCUCAUUGGAAAGCCAUUUUAUCCUGGAACUAUUAGGGCAACAUUCUCUGAGAAGAUCAACUUCAAGGACCUGACCCAGACAUCUCUGCUCUGUGCUUCCAGAGCAGGAAUAAAGGGUUUUUUUCACUGGAUUGUCCUGGCACUUCCUUUAGGCCACUGAAGUCACAGGUAUGCUCAAAGUUUUCAAGGUCCAGG